Molecule: transfer RNA, 67 nt
Filed under: Callerebia suroia
Lineage: Eukaryota; Metazoa; Arthropoda; Insecta; Lepidoptera; Nymphalidae
Description: tRNA-Met
Source: RNAcentral
UUAAAAAAAAACCAAAAAAAGCUUUGGGGCCCAUCCCCCAAAAAAAAAGAAAAUCCCUUUUUUUAAA